This 126-nucleotide ribosomal RNA is filed under the name Nodularia sp. LEGE 04288. RNAcentral's name for it is "partial 16S ribosomal RNA". It matches the Rfam family "Bacterial small subunit ribosomal RNA", at positions 1 to 138 of the family's 1533-position model. Lineage: Bacteria; Bacillati; Cyanobacteriota; Cyanophyceae; Nostocales; Nodulariaceae. The record is from RNAcentral. RNAcentral also lists the same sequence under 1 other name.
AAAACGGAGAGUUUGAUCCUGGCUCAGGAUGAACGCUGGCGGUAUGCUUAACACAUGCAAGUCGAACGGUCUCUUCGGAGAUAGUGGCGGACGGGUGAGUAACGCGUGAGAAUCUGGCUUCAGGUC